This 252-nucleotide ribosomal RNA is filed under the name uncultured prokaryote. Its description in RNAcentral is "partial 16S ribosomal RNA". It matches the Rfam family "Bacterial small subunit ribosomal RNA", at positions 524 to 775 of the family's 1533-position model. The record is from RNAcentral.
UAUGGAGGGUGCAAGCGUUCUCCGGAUUCACUGGGUUUAAAGGGUGCGUAGGCGGAAUGGAAAGUCCGUUGUGAAAUCUCUGAGCUUAACUCGGAAAUUGCGGUGGAUACUAUCAUUCUUGAAUACUGUGGAGGUUAGCGGAAUAUGUCAUGUAGCGGUGAAAUGCAUAGGUAUGACAUAGAACACCAAUUGCGAAGGCAGCUGGCUACACAGAUAUUGACGCUGAGGCACGAAAGCGUGGGGAUCAAACAG